This is an RNA transcript of Passer domesticus (house sparrow), 660 nucleotides long. It is a transcript of the gene named probable inactive protein kinase DDB_G0270444, with no coding region annotated. The record is from RefSeq and is a predicted model, not a curated record. The transcript has 3 exons. NCBI's taxonomy places the organism in Eukaryota, Metazoa, Chordata, Aves, Passeriformes, Passeridae.
CGUUCAGGGACUCCAUCAUUCCACGGUCUCCACUGUCCACUUCAGAUGGAGCCUGGGAACUGUGAUGUCACAGCCCACGAUCCAGCUGGAACAUCCAGUGCCCAGCAAAGGGCAAAACACAACUGUUGUUCGUUGUGUUCACAUGCUCUUCACCCUGCUCCUGCCCACUCUGCUUUUCACCUGCCCCCUGAUAACCCAUUCAGUCCUGAAAGGUCCUUAGUGCCUGGAUUUUGUUAUCCAGCCCUGCAGGAUGCUUCUCUUUGUUCUGAGGAAGGCUGUCCCAGAUGGAGAAGAGGAGAUGGAGGUGGAUAUAGAGAUUGAUAGAGAGGAGGACAUGGAGACGGAGGGAGAAGACACUGGGGAGGAGGAGAUGGAGGUGGAGGUGGAGGUGAAGGAGGAAGAGGAGAUGGAAUUGGAUAUGGAAGAGUCCAUUGAGGACAUGGACAUUGAUUAAAAGGGUGCGAUGGACAUCAUGGAGAGAGAUGCCACCAUUUUCUACACACGUUUUACACUUUGAUGUUGUCUUUAGGAUAUAGGUUUUAGGGCUUUUUGUCUUCUGUAAAUACGUUUCAUAUAUUUUUUGUUAGAUAGGUUUUUCUGUAUAUAUGUUCUAUCGAUUGUUGUUGUUACAAAUAUUCUUACAAUGUAAAUAUGUUCUGU